This 439-nucleotide ribosomal RNA is filed under the name uncultured bacterium. Its description in RNAcentral is "bacterial SSU rRNA". It matches the Rfam family "Bacterial small subunit ribosomal RNA", at positions 30 to 466 of the family's 1533-position model. The record is from RNAcentral.
AGCGAACGUUUGCGGCGGGCUUAACACAUGCAAGUCGAACGGGCUGUUCCUUCGGGGGCAGUCAGUGGCGCACGGGUGCGUAACACGUAGGUAAUCAACCCUCUGGUUGGGGAUAACACUUCGAAAGGAGUGCUAAUACCCGGUAUGGCGCAGCGGUCUUCGGAUCGCGGCGAGAAAGACCCGCAAGGGUUGCCAGAGGACGAGCCUGCGGCCCAUCAGCUAGUUGGCGAGGUAACGGCUCACCAAGGCGAAGACGGGUAGCUGGUCUGAGAGGAUGAUCAGCCACACUGGAACUGAGACACGGUCCAGACUCCUACGGGAGGCAGCAGUGGGGAAUAUUGCGCAAUGGGCGAAAGCCUGACGCAGCCACGCCGCGUGAGCGAUGAAGGCCUCGGUCGUAAGACGUACGUCGUGGGUAGGAGGAAGGAAGUAAAGAACC